This 62-nucleotide transfer RNA is filed under the name Pherbellia dubia. Its description in RNAcentral is "tRNA-Cys". Lineage: Eukaryota; Metazoa; Arthropoda; Insecta; Diptera; Sciomyzidae. The record is from RNAcentral.
AGCUUUAUAGUCAAAAAUGACAUCAGACUGCAAUUCUGAAGGAGUAAUAUUUACUAAAGCUU